CCUACGGGUGGCUGCAGUGGGGAAUAUUGCACAAUGGGCGCAAGCCUGAUGCAGCCAUGCCGCGUGUGAAGAAGGCCUUCGGGUUGUAAAGCACUUUCAGCGGGGAGGAAGGCGUUAAGGUUAAUAACCUUGGCGAUUGACGUUACCCGCAGAAGAAGCACCGGCUAACUCCGUGCCAGCAGCCGCGGUAAUACGGAGGGUGCAAGCGUUAAUCGGAAUUACUGGGCGUAAAGCGCACGCAGGCGGUCUGUCAAGUCGGAUGUGAAAUCCCCGGGCUCAACCUGGGAACUGCAUUCGAAACUGGCAGGCUAGAGUCUUGUAGAGGGGGGUAGAAUUCCAGGUGUAGCGGUGAAAUGCGUAGAGAUCUGGAGGAAUACCGGUGGCGAAGGCGGCCCCCUGGACAAAGACUGACGCUCAGGUGCGAAAGCGUGGGGAGCAAACAGGAUUAGAUACCCCAGUAGUC
Molecule: ribosomal RNA, 463 nt
Filed under: uncultured Klebsiella sp.
Lineage: Bacteria; Pseudomonadati; Pseudomonadota; Gammaproteobacteria; Enterobacterales; Enterobacteriaceae
Description: bacterial SSU rRNA
Rfam family: Bacterial small subunit ribosomal RNA
Source: RNAcentral